UGUGGGGCAAAGAGGGGUGGAGGGGGGAACUUGUGGGGCUGAGAAGGGGACGCUUGUGGGGCCGCCCCCCAAGUCCUGCCCCACAACCGCAGGCGCUUGGCAGCGUUUUGCUGCCCCUUGGCUUCUGGAUGCUGCUGGAUGGGGAAGGCCUGGCUGUGCUGCUGGGACACCCGGUGCUGGCGCUGCAGCCCUGCUCCUACGUGUGCUGCGCCGCAGGGGCUCUGAGCGCUGCCAUGGGGGCCCUGGGGGGGCUGGGGGCCCUCCGGGGGGCGCGGGCACCGCUGGGGGUGUUCGCGGUGCUGCUGCUGCUGCUGCUGCUGGCGCAGGUGGUGCUGGGGGUGAUGGCCUACACACAGCGCAGCGCCGUGAGUGGGGCAGGCGGGACCUGUGGGGCGGGACGUGUGGGGCGGGGAGCUGUGGGGCGGGGAGCUGUGGGGCAGGGAGGUGUGGGGCACAGCACUGUGGGGCGGGGAGGUGUGGGGCGGGGACGUGUGGGUCACUCUAUGGGUCCCAGUGCCGUGGGUCAGAGGCCUAUGGGAGCCAACGCUGUGGGUCCCGGCACAGUGGGUCUCUAUGGGCCGCUAUGGGUCUCUGUGGGUCCCUAUGGAGCCUAUGGGUCUCUGUGGGUUCUUGCAGGGACUCUAUGGGGCCUCCGCGGGUCUUUAUGGGGCUCUAAAGGUUUCCUAUGGGAUCUCUAAGGGUCCCUAUGGGUCUUCAUGGUUUCCUAUGGGGCACAGUGGGUCUCUAUGGGUCUUUAGAUUUCUAUGGGGUCU
RNAcentral lists this long non-coding RNA (773 nucleotides) under Phasianus colchicus (ring-necked pheasant). Its description in RNAcentral is "lncRNA (ENSPCLG00000017034.1)". Lineage: Eukaryota; Metazoa; Chordata; Aves; Galliformes; Phasianidae. The record is from RNAcentral.